AACGUAGGAGACAAACGUUAUCCGGAGUUACUGGGCGUAAAGGGCGUGUAGGUGGUAGUGUAAGUCUGGCGUGAAAUUUUUCGGCUUAACCGGGAAAGGUCGUCGGAUACUGCACAACUAGAGGACGGUAGAGGCGUGUGGAAUUCCAGGUGUAGCGGUGAAAUGCGUAGAUAUCUGGAGGAACACCGGUGGCGAAGGCGGCAUCCUGGACCGGCAUUGACGCUGAGGCGCGAAAGCUAGGGGAGCAAACGGG
Molecule: ribosomal RNA, 253 nt
Filed under: uncultured bacterium
Lineage: Bacteria
Description: partial 16S ribosomal RNA
Rfam family: Bacterial small subunit ribosomal RNA
Source: RNAcentral